CCUACGGGGUGCAGCAGUGGGGAAUAUUGCACAAUGGGCGCAAGCCUGAUGCAGCCAUGCCGCGUGUGUGAAGAAGGCCUUCGGGUUGUAAAGCACUUUCAGCGGGGAGGAAGGCGUUAAGGUUAAUAACCUUGUCGAUUGACGUUACCCGCAGAAGAAGCACCGGCUAACUCCGUGCCAGCAGCCGCGGUAAUACGGAGGGUGCAAGCGUUAAUCGGAAUUACUGGGCGUAAAGCGCACGCAGGCGGUCUGUCAAGUCGGAUGUGAAAUCCCCGGGCUCAACCUGGGAACUGCAUUCGAAACUGGCAGGCUAGAGUGUUGUAGAGGGGUGUAGAAUUCCAGGUGUAGCGGGGAAAUGCGUAGAGAUCUGGAGGAAUACCGGUGGCGAAGGCGGCCCCCUGGACAAAGACUGACGCUCAGGUGCGAAAGCGUGGGGAGCAAACAGGAUUAGAUACCCUUGGAGUC
This 465-nucleotide ribosomal RNA is filed under the name uncultured Klebsiella sp. RNAcentral describes it as "bacterial SSU rRNA". It matches the Rfam family "Bacterial small subunit ribosomal RNA", at positions 338 to 795 of the family's 1533-position model. Lineage: Bacteria; Pseudomonadati; Pseudomonadota; Gammaproteobacteria; Enterobacterales; Enterobacteriaceae. The record is from RNAcentral.